This is a non-coding RNA of Pelobates cultripes (western spadefoot toad), 366 nucleotides long. The record is from the annotation of a GenBank genome assembly. Lineage: Eukaryota; Metazoa; Chordata; Amphibia; Anura; Pelobatidae.
GGGAGUGCCCCAUCAGCGAGUCUUUUCUCCAUUAAUGUGCUGUAACAGUUCUGCUGUUAAAUGGCAUUUUACUUCUCCAUGUGACGCCUAAACUGUUGCCUGCUCUGUGUUCACAGAUACGCAGGGAGCUGCCAUUUUUAAAUAGCUCAGGAACACACAGGCACCUGUGAUAUUUGGAAUGUCUGAACUCAAUGAAGAAUGUACAUGUUGAGCCAAAAUUACCCAGAGAUCCUAGCUCAUAGGGUAUAGGCAAACAUACUAACGUAGAAAGAGCAGAAUAUUGUUUUCAAGACAUAUUACUGGUCCUUCAGUUCGUUUAUCUUUUUAAAUCCUUAAAUCCUAGGACACACUUGGUGGAAACUUUAU